CGGGGCUCCAAGUGUCCACGCUCUGAGGAGAGUUGGCGACAGGUCCUAGGCCGUGAGUUAACACUGGGGAUUUGGACCCAGGACUUUGUCCUGUGUGACAGCCAAGCACUCUACUACUGAGCUACACUCCCUGCCCAACCUCAAGUACUUCGUUAAUGUCUUCAGAAGGAGGAUGACAGGGACUCAGAAGGGAGCUGCAGUAUCGCUUAUGUCCACCAGAUGAUGCCACCAUUCAGUGGAAUUCCAGAUUCUGGCUUGGGGACGCAAGCAUGACUGUGGCCAAGUUUGAGAUUGGCCUGCUUUGGAAUAUCAAAUACCUCCUCUUUGGAGGGGAAGGAAGAUGAAAGCAAUGACAUCCACACUCCCCCAGAGCAUCUCCCCAGCACAGCCUGAGCUCUUGCAAUGGGGUUUUGUCGGGAGAGCUCAUCACCUGGAGUGGUCAGGAGGGCUCAGUCACUGUGCGGUCACUGGGGGAGAAGACCUCGUGGCUUCAGCCUAGCCUGCUGAGGAAGCUCUUGGAGUCAGGGUGUCAGAGGGCUGAGACCCCACAGGAAGUGCAGAGCCGGAUGGGAAGGAGAGGUGACCACAUCCUGCAUUUCUCUGUGGUUCCCCCAGGAACCAGUAACACAGCCUGGAGGCUCAGCAGAGGAAAACCAAGAAGCCAAAUGAAAACCACAAUGAAAUACUCCUUCAUAUCCGCCAGCAUUGCUAUCAUGAAAAGAAAGAUAAUAACAAGUGCUGGUGAAGAUGUGGGGAAAUAGGAGCCCUCAGGCACUGUUGGUGGAUAGCUGCUUUGCACAGUAAUCUAGCAUUCCCAAAAGGUUAAAUAGAGACUUGUCUUUCAACACAGCAAUUCCACUUUUAGGUGCAUACCCAAAAGAAAUGGAAAUUUUGGUCCACAUGAAAACCUGUCCCUUAAUGUUUGGAGCAGCAUUAGGCAUAAUGACCAAAAAAUGAAAAGUACCCAACAGUUCUGCUGUUAAGAUUGAGAAGUUUUUGUGGUGUCUGAA
This 1010-nucleotide long non-coding RNA is filed under the name Heterocephalus glaber (naked mole-rat). RNAcentral describes it as "lncRNA (ENSHGLG00000037443.1)". Lineage: Eukaryota; Metazoa; Chordata; Mammalia; Rodentia; Bathyergidae. The record is from RNAcentral.